GUACGGAAGGCAGCAGUGAGGAAUAUUGGUCAAUGGGCGAGAGCCUGAACCAGCCAAGUAGCGUGAAGGACGACGGCCCUACGGGUUGUAAACUUCUUUUAUAAGGGAAUAAAGUUCGCCACGUGUGGUGUUUUGUAUGUACCUUAUGAAUAAGCAUCGGCUAAUUCCGUGCCAGCAGCCGCGGUAAUACGGAAGAUGCGAGCGUUAUCCGGAUUUAUUGGGUUUAAAGGGAGCGUAGGCGGGCUUUUAAGUCAGCGGUCAAAUGCCACGGCUCAACCGUGGCCAGCCGUUGAAACUGUAAGCCUUGAGUCUGCACAGGGCACAUGGAAUUCGUGGUGUAGCGGUGAAAUGCUUAGAUAUCACGAAGAACUCCGAUCGCGAGGGCAUUGUGCCGGGGCAGCACUGACGCUGAGGCUCGAAAGUGCGGGUAUCAAACAGGAUUAGAUACCCCCGUAGUCC
Molecule: ribosomal RNA, 459 nt
Filed under: uncultured bacterium
Lineage: Bacteria
Description: bacterial SSU rRNA
Rfam family: Bacterial small subunit ribosomal RNA
Source: RNAcentral